Drosophila obscura is the source of this 989-nucleotide long non-coding RNA. RefSeq lists it as uncharacterized. The transcript is spliced from 3 exons. The record is from RefSeq and is a predicted model, not a curated record. Lineage: Eukaryota; Metazoa; Arthropoda; Insecta; Diptera; Drosophilidae.
ACAUCUAAAUUGGAAAAGUGAAACAAAAUAUUUCGGUAAAAGUAAAAAAAAAUUAAAGUGAAAAAGAAAUAUUUGUUUGGUGAAAAAAUAUUUCUUUAAAAGUGCAUACAAAAUGUUUAGUGCGAGCAAUGUUCUAAUUAAUUUAUAGUUCAAAUUUAUUUUUAAUUGAUUAAUAAUUUAUUUUGGUUAAUGGUCAGUUGAAUUAAUUCACGAGUUACAACAAAAAUUUCUAAAUUGUUUUGUUUCGAGUUUUCUUUUUGUUCCAACGGACUCCAAGUUUACUUUAAUUUUUGACUAUUUGAUUGCCAAAUUUUUUUAUUCUGGUUACAUUUGAUUGAUUGAUUGCCAUUGGACACAAUACAUAAAACUCAAAGACAAGAUGUUAUAUUUCUACUGUCGCUACAGGCUCUGGUUUCCUACCCUCAUUGAAAGUUAAUUGCCGGUUUUAUUCCACUCUACAACAUAAAAUUCCCGAAACCAGAGGGAAAAUAAAACAAUUAAAAAAAAAAACACUCUCAUUACUUAAAUUCGUUUCGAAUUAAGUUCGUUUGGUUUUUUGAAUUUCAUUGGAAUGUGCCAACCGCCAGUCAAACCACCAGAACUAAAAACACCCAGAGACAUGUAAGAGCCUGAAUAUCUAGCAAUUGCAGCCACCAUAUCUAGCAAUUGCAAAAAUAAUUUUACACGCCAAACUGUUUAUGUUUUAAUCACAAUUUCGCAAUUUUUAAAUAAUGUUCAAUAUCACCGAUUUAAUUGUUCAAACAAAGACACGUAAGACCCCAACAGCAGCGAGGGUCGCCUUCAACAUCACAGAGCCAGGAUAUCUAGCAAUCGCAACAAUAAUUUCACACUUUGUUUUUUUUUGUUGGCGGUAAAAAGCUUUGACAAAACACAAGUUCACAAUUGUUCAAUUCUGUUCAAUAUCGAUUAAUUUUAAUGUUACUCACUGUUAAUGUUUAAUUAAGCAAUAAAAUAACAUUAAAAAAUAA